Molecule: ribosomal RNA, 1489 nt
Filed under: Salmonella enterica
Lineage: Bacteria; Pseudomonadati; Pseudomonadota; Gammaproteobacteria; Enterobacterales; Enterobacteriaceae
Description: bacterial SSU rRNA
Rfam family: Bacterial small subunit ribosomal RNA
Source: RNAcentral
GAACGGUAACAGGAAGCAGCUUGCUGCUUUGCUGACGAGUGGCGGACGGGUGAGUAAUGUCUGGGAAACUGCCUGAUGGAGGGGGAUAACUACUGGAAACGGUGGCUAAUACCGCAUAACGUCGCAAGACCAAAGAGGGGGACCUUCGGGCCUCUUGCCAUCAGAUGUGCCCAGAUGGGAUUAGCUAGUUGGUGAGGUAACGGCUCACCAAGGCGACGAUCCCUAGCUGGUCUGAGAGGAUGACCAGCCACACUGGAACUGAGACACGGUCCAGACUCCUACGGGAGGCAGCAGUGGGGAAUAUUGCACAAUGGGCGCAAGCCUGAUGCAGCCAUGCCGCGUGUAUGAAGAAGGCCUUCGGGUUGUAAAGUACUUUCAGCGGGGAGGAAGGUGUUGUGGUUAAUAACCGCAGCAAUUGACGUUACCCGCAGAAGAAGCACCGGCUAACUCCGUGCCAGCAGCCGCGGUAAUACGGAGGGUGCAAGCGUUAAUCGGAAUUACUGGGCGUAAAGCGCACGCAGGCGGUCUGUCAAGUCGGAUGUGAAAUCCCCGGGCUCAACCUGGGAACUGCAUUCGAAACUGGCAGGCUUGAGUCUUGUAGAGGGGGGUAGAAUUCCAGGUGUAGCGGUGAAAUGCGUAGAGAUCUGGAGGAAUACCGGUGGCGAAGGCGGCCCCCUGGACAAAGACUGACGCUCAGGUGCGAAAGCGUGGGGAGCAAACAGGAUUAGAUACCCUGGUAGUCCACGCCGUAAACGAUGUCUACUUGGAGGUUGUGCCCUUGAGGCGUGGCUUCCGGAGCUAACGCGUUAAGUAGACCGCCUGGGGAGUACGGCCGCAAGGUUAAAACUCAAAUGAAUUGACGGGGGCCCGCACAAGCGGUGGAGCAUGUGGUUUAAUUCGAUGCAACGCGAAGAACCUUACCUGGUCUUGACAUCCACAGAAGAAUCCAGAGAUGGAUUUGUGCCUUCGGGAACUGUGAGACAGGUGCUGCAUGGCUGUCGUCAGCUCGUGUUGUGAAAUGUUGGGUUAAGUCCCGCAACGAGCGCAACCCUUAUCCUUUGUUGCCAGCGGUCCGGCCGGGAACUCAAAGGAGACUGCCAGUGAUAAACUGGAGGAAGGUGGGGAUGACGUCAAGUCAUCAUGGCCCUUACGACCAGGGCUACACACGUGCUACAAUGGCGCAUACAAAGAGAAGCGACCUCGCGAGAGCAAGCGGACCUCAUAAAGUGCGUCGUAGUCCGGAUUGGAGUCUGCAACUCGACUCCAUGAAGUCGGAAUCGCUAGUAAUCGUGGAUCAGAAUGCCACGGUGAAUACGUUCCCGGGCCUUGUACACACCGCCCGUCACACCAUGGGAGUGGGUUGCAAAAGAAGUAGGUAGCUUAACCUUCGGGAGGGCGCUUACCACUUUGUGAUUCAUGACUGGGGUGAAGUCGUAACAAGGUAACCGUAGGGGAACCUGCGGUUGGAUCACCUCCUUACCUUAAAGAA